GGGGGGGCCGCACCAAGCGGGGGAGCAUGUGGGUUUAAUUAGAUGCAAACGCGAAGAACCUUACCUACUCUUUGACAUCUACAGAAGCCAGCGGAGACGCAGGUGUGCCUUCGGGAACUGUAAGACAGGUGCUGCAUGGCUGUCGUCAGCUCGUGUUGUGAAAUGUUGGGUUAAGUCCCGCAACGAGCGCAACCCUUAUCCUUGUUUGCCAGCACUUCGGGUGGGAACUCCAGGGAGACUGCCGGUGAUAAACCGGAGGAAGGUGGGGACGACGUCAAGUCAUCAUGGCCCUUACGAGUAGGGCUACACACGUGCUACAAUGGCGCAUACAGAGGGCGGCCAACUUGCGAAAGUGAGCGAAUCCCAAAAAGUGCGUCGUAGUCCGGAUUGGAGUCUGCAACUCGACUCCAUGAAGUCGGAAUCGCUAGUAAUCGUGGAUCAGAAUGCCACGGUGAAUACGUUCCCGGGCCUUGUACACACCGCCCGUCACACCAUGGGAGUGGGCUGCAAAAGAAGUGGGUAGUUUAACCUUCGGGAGGACGCUCACCACUUUGUGGUUCAUGACUGGGGUGAAGUCGUAACAAGGUAACCG
RNAcentral lists this ribosomal RNA (592 nucleotides) under uncultured bacterium. RNAcentral describes it as "bacterial SSU rRNA". It matches the Rfam family "Bacterial small subunit ribosomal RNA", at positions 914 to 1502 of the family's 1533-position model. The record is from RNAcentral.